RNAcentral lists this long non-coding RNA (341 nucleotides) under Helianthus annuus (common sunflower). Its description in RNAcentral is "hypothetical non coding rna". Lineage: Eukaryota; Viridiplantae; Streptophyta; Magnoliopsida; Asterales; Asteraceae. The record is from RNAcentral.
UUUACUCUAGAAAAAGUUUCUGGCUCUGCAACUACACUACACAACACAAACAUUUUCACAUGUUUAAUGGUAUACAUUGUAGUUUUAGCGUUCUAUAAUAAAUCACCUUUAGUCAUGCCCCGUUAAGAAACUACCACAACAUCAUACCUUCAAAUAUUUAUAUGUUAAAUACAAUUCCAUCGUUGACAAAUCCGACUAAACCGAGCAUUUCAAACACAAUAAAACAAUUAGCUGUUUCCAGACGCCACGGCCUCUACAUGAACAUGUAAGAUUCAAAGAAUUAUUCAAAUAUGCCCAUAUAUGCCCCGCAUGAGUCCUUGGCCUCGGAUGAAAAGGUCCCC